AUACUUAGUAACGGCGAGUGAGCGGUAAAAGCUCAAAUUUGAAAUCUGGUACUUUCAGUGCCCGAGUUGUAAUUUGUAGAAUUUGUCUUUGAUUAGGUCCUUGUCUAUGUUCCUUGGAACAGGACGUCAUAGAGGGUGAGAAUCCCGUUUGGCGAGGAUACCUUUUCUCUGUAAGACUUUUUCGAAGAGUCGAGUUGUUUGGGAAUGCAGCUCAAAGUGGGUGGUAAAUUCCAUCUAAAGCUAAAUAUUGGCGAGAGACCGAUAGCGAACAAGUACAGUGAUGGAAAGAUGAAAAGAACUUUGAAAAGAGAGUGAAAAAGUACGUGAAAUUGUUGAAAGGGAAGGGCAUUUGAUCAGACAUGGUGUUUUUUGCAUGCACUCGCCUCUCGUGGGCUUGGGCCUCUCAAAAAUUUCACUGGGCCAACAUCAAUUCUGGCAGCAGGAUAAAUCAUUAAGAAUGUAGCUACUUCGGUAGUGUUAUAGCUUUUUGGAAUACUGUUAGCCGGGAUUGAGGACUGCGCUUCGGCAAGGAUGUUGGCAUAAUGGUUAAAUGCCGCCCGUCUUGACCAACGGACCA
RNAcentral lists this ribosomal RNA (577 nucleotides) under Hanseniaspora uvarum. Its description in RNAcentral is "LSU rRNA". It matches the Rfam family "Eukaryotic large subunit ribosomal RNA", at positions 73 to 668 of the family's 3401-position model. Lineage: Eukaryota; Fungi; Ascomycota; Saccharomycetes; Saccharomycodales; Saccharomycodaceae. The record is from RNAcentral.